AUACUUUGCUACUAAAACAAAAUAUGGAAUAAGAAAGUAGUACAAAAAUUUGAUUGGUCAAAGCACACUGACCAAUAACAUACAAGGGUGAGGAUUAGAGACUCUUUCAACCACAACCGUUGAUUAACCUUAGAUCUAAUGGACAAGGGUGUUUCUUUCUCUCUCUCCCCUCUUACCUUAUCGUAUUUUUUGUUCUUCUCUUUCAAUUUUUUUUUCCAGAUCUUUUCUCUCUAAUCUCUUUCUUCUCAUCACCACAAAACCUUAUCACAGCAGACCUUGUUUUCGUCUCCACCCCAUCUCGUCGUCGUCACAACCACUGCUCGCGUCGUCACCACCAUAGCUCCAUAAAUGGAGGCGAGGAUGAAGAAAAUCGUUUGACCUCCUCACCACCAUGACAUAUCUAUGGAGCAGGGAAGGAGAAGAAGUGGUGUUACAGAGCAUUGAACUGGAUUCGUUUCUCUUUCUCCCUCUCUCUCUAUCUAUCUCUCUCUGUGUGUGUGUGUUCAGAUUUCGUUUUUUAUUUUCUGUUCUUAGUUUAGAAUAGGCGGAAGGUUAAUGGUGGUGGUCUCGGCGUCAACAAUGGUGGUCUCGGCGCUACCAAUGGUGGUCUCGGCGCUACCAGUGGUGGUCUUGCGUCGUCAAUGGUGUUCUUGGCUGGUGGAGGAAGCUGAAUAACCUUUACCGUGGUGUUCUUGGCUAGAGGUCUGAAGUUGACGGCAAAAAGUUUAGACACAGGGUUAAUUUUUUUAGGUUAGGCUUUAAGUUUACAUUUCUAAACCGGAUUUUGUAAACCAGAAUUUAUUUGUAAACCAGAAUGAAAUCACUAAAUAAAUUUUUAUUUU
Molecule: long non-coding RNA, 842 nt
Organism: Raphanus sativus (radish)
Lineage: Eukaryota; Viridiplantae; Streptophyta; Magnoliopsida; Brassicales; Brassicaceae
Exons: 2
Source: RefSeq, a predicted model, not a curated record